RNAcentral lists this ribosomal RNA (497 nucleotides) under uncultured bacterium. Its description in RNAcentral is "bacterial SSU rRNA". It matches the Rfam family "Bacterial small subunit ribosomal RNA", at positions 17 to 518 of the family's 1533-position model. The record is from RNAcentral.
UUCUGGCUCAGGAUGAACGCUGGCGGCGUGCUUAAUACAUGCAAGUCGAACGAAGACAUCUCGCCGAAGCUUGCUUCAUUGAGAUAUCUUAGUGGCGGACGGGUGAGUAACGCGUGGGUAACCUGCCUUACACAGGGGGAUAACAGUUAGAAAUGACUGCUAAUACCGCAUAAGCGCACAUUAUCGCAUGAUAGAGUGUGAAAAGAUUUAUCGGUGUAAGAUGGACCCGCGUCUGAUUAGCUAGUUGGUGAGGUAACGGCCCACCAAGGCGACGAUCAGUAGCCGGCCUGAGAGGGUGAACGGCCACAUUGGGACUGAGACACGGCCCAAACUCCUACGGGAGGCAGCAGUAGGGAAUAUUGGACAAUGGGGGAAACCCUGAUCCAGCCGACGCCGCGUGAGUGAAGAAGUAUUUCGGUACGUAAAGCUCUAUCAGCAGGGAAGAAAAUGACGGUACCUGACUAAGAAGCACCGGCUAAAUACGUGCCAGCAGCUGC